Molecule: ribosomal RNA, 505 nt
Filed under: uncultured bacterium
Lineage: Bacteria
Description: partial 16S ribosomal RNA
Rfam family: Bacterial small subunit ribosomal RNA
Source: RNAcentral
GACGAACGCUGGCGGCGUGCCUAACACAUGCAAGUAGAACGCACAGUUUAUACCGUAGCUUGCUACACCAUAGACUGUGAGUUGCGAACGGGUGAGUAACGCGUAGGUAACCUGCCUGGUAGCGGGGGAUAACUAUUGGAAACGAUAGCUAAUACCGCAUAAUAUUGAUUAUUGCAUGAUAAUUGAUUGAAAGAUGCUAUUGCAUCACUACCAGAUGGACCUGCGUUGUAUUAGCUAGUAGGUGAGGUAACGGCUCACCUAGGCGACGAUACAUAGCCGACCUGAGAGGGUGAUCGGCCACACUGGGACUGAGACACGGCCCAGACUCCUACGGGAGGCAGCAGUAGGGAAUCUUCGGAAAUGGACGAAAGUCUGACCGAGCAACGCCGCGUGAGGGAAGAAGGGUUUCGGAUCGUAAAGCUCUGUUGUAAGAGAAGAACGGGUGUGAGAGUGGAAAGUUCACACUGUGACGGUAUCUUACCAGAAAGGGACGGCUAACUACGUG